Molecule: long non-coding RNA, 4706 nt
Organism: Pangasianodon hypophthalmus (striped catfish)
Lineage: Eukaryota; Metazoa; Chordata; Actinopteri; Siluriformes; Pangasiidae
Exons: 2
Source: RefSeq, a predicted model, not a curated record
GGGGUUGUUCUUCAAUAAGAAAAGAAUUCUGCAAUCAUCCACUUUAGUUGUUUUCUGUGGUCUCCCAGGCCUUUUGGUGUUGCUGAGCUCGCCAGUGCAUUCCUUCUUUUUAAGAAUGUACCAAAUUGUUGAUUUGGCCCUCCUAAAGUUUCUGCUAUCUCUCUGAUAGGUCUGUUUUGGUUUUUCAGCCUAAUGACGGCCUCCUUCACUUGCAUCAACACUUCUUUGGACGGCAUAUUGAGAGUUCCCAUGAGCAGCUACCAAAUGCAAAUUCAACACUUGGAAUCAGCUCCAGACCUUUUAUCUCCUUAAUUUAUCAUAAUAUAAGGAGGAAACAGGCCACAGCUGGCCAUGAAACUGCUUAUCAGUCAAUUGUCCCAUUACUUUUGAGCCUGUGAAAAUGGAGGAACUCUGUAAAAAAAUGGCUGUAAUUCCUAAACGGUUAAUGCAAUAUUUUUGUUAAACCCCUUGAAUUAAAGCUGAAAGUCUACGCUUCAGUCACAUCUUGACUGCUUCAUUUCAAAUCCACUGUGGUGGUGUACAGAGGCAAAAUUACCAAAACUGUGUCACUGUCCCAAUAUUUAUGGACCUGACUGUAUUGCUUAAAACCAAUUAAGACAAGGAUUUGUUGCUGCUUGCCAGUUACAUUUAGAGCAUUUGGCAGAUGCCCUUACCCAGCGCAACUUACAAUUACCUCACUUACACAACUGAGCAGUUGAGGAUUAAGGGCCUUGCUCAAGUGCCCAGUAGUGGCAGCUUGGUAGCGCAGGGAUUUGAACUCUUAACCUUCCAAACAGAAGCCCAAGUUCUUAACCACUGAGCUACCACAUCCCCCACUUAGUUAUGGUGGCUAUGUUUACUCAAGUACACCUAGCAUAUGACAUAAUUUAUCAUAACAUUAUAGCAGCUGUCAUGACAGUUACCUGUAAUGGUAACUUGACAUUGCUACAUAACCUACACUAUAUGGCCAAAAGUUGGUGGACACUUGACCAUCACACCUAUACAUGGGCUUUCUCCAAACUGUUGCCACAAAGCUGGAAGCACACAAUUGUAUAGGAUGUCUUUAUAUGCGUUACAGUUUCAUUUUACUGAAACAUCCUGUUCCAGCAUGACACUGCUCCUGUGCACAAAGCGUGGUCCAUGAAGACAUGGUUUGCCAAGGUUGGAGCAGAAGAACUCAAGUGGCCUGAACAGAUCCCUGACUUCAACCCCACUGAACACCUUUGGGAUGAAUUGGAACACCCAGGGCCUUCUCACCUGCCAUCAGUGCUUGACCUCACUAAUGCUCUUGUGGCUGAAUGGGCAAAUCCCCACAGCCACACCAGUGGAAUUCUUCCCAGAAGGGUGGAGGUUAUUAUAACAGCAAAGGGGGGACUAAAUUUGGAACGGGCUGUUCAAAAAGCACAUAUGAGUAUGAUGGUCAGGUGUCCACAAACGUUUGGCCAUAUAGUGUAAUUAGGGCAUGUUUAUGUCAGAUUUAUAACACAAAGUUCAUGUUUAGCUCAAAAAUACAUGUAAUCUAAUAACAAAUAUACAAAGCAGCAUAGCAGUAUUAGCUAAGGCAUCAUUGCAAGUGCUGAUAUUAGACUAUUCUUUAGAAAACGAUCUCUGUGACCAUGGCAUUCACAGGAGAACCAGCACAUCUGUCUACUGAGCAGAGGUCACUGGUUACUAUGGAGACCAGGCUGCUCAUUCAGACAAUUAUUAGCCCCGUCCCAAGCCACAUGAAAAGUUUUCAGAGUGGUCCUAAAAUAGUUUUGCUGAAAUAAUUUUAGCUAUCUCUCCACUGUGUAGUGGAUACAUUACUGAUUUUUUUCCUCUACACAUUUCUGGUAUCAGAUAUCCUCAUAUUGUAGUCAGCUAGAUAAGUUAAUUUGGCUAACUGUCCAUGGAGAAACACUAACAUCUCCCAGGCACACUUAAGAGAGAUUUAAAACAUAGACCUAAAAUAUCACUAUUGUUAGUUGUCACCCCCUUCAACAUAAAUAUUGACCAGGUAACAUUACCUUCGAAUGUCUCUGACUGAAUAUAUCGCCAAAAUAACUAGCUGUUCAAUUUCAGUACAUUUACUUUAGUUGACUGACCCAUUUGUGAGGAUUGUUUCAUUUCUGAACUAUAACUACUAUUACUAUAAUUGCAAUAAUAAUUAAAGACAAUAUAUAUUUUUUUAAUUUACUGAGCUCUGAAACUUGCAGGACUGAGAAUGGUUAUGCUAGAAUAAAGAUUUCCAGUAGGCUUAUGAAUGAUUGCACAAAUAGAAAAUAAAGAAUUUCAUAUGGAUAUUUAUGAACUGUUUUGUUUGUUCCUUAUUGAUCUUGGACACUAAUGAUAUCAACCUUGUUUACAAGGAGAUACUUCAAGGCAAGUCAGCAGAUAAAAAGGAACCUCUAAGUCUUAACUGCAGAACUUGAGAAAGAAUCAUUUCUACGUACAAAAAAAUGUAUCAUGUUGAAAAACAUGUAUAGUCUUGUGUCUUAACUGAUCUCCAACUGAGACCAUCUGACUUAGAUUACAGAAUAAUUAGUUUAACCCUUCAUAGGAUAUUUCUUGGUGGUUGUUUUUUACAAGAGCUUUUCCUUAUGGCAUUUAUAAAUGACAAAAUCCCACAGAGGGCUAAUGAUCUGAAAAUUCUAUAAGCCACUUAUCAAACCUAUCAAGGAUUUCAGCAAGAUUAUAAACACAUCAAUACAAGCAAAGGCAGUGCAAAAAAUCAGUUCCACUCAGUGAUCUGCACUAAGCUGUUGCUGUGAGUUUCAAAUCAAAUUUGGGAUUCACCCAGUGGCCAACUAAACAGACUGCUGAAAGAGAUGGGUGGUGAUGAAUAGCAGGUCUGUUGCAGAACUGGGAGCCAGCGGUAGAUACAAGGACAUUUGUAAGUGAAUCAUGUCCAGAUACUACGCCUGAAUACUGGGAUUUAACUCUCCUAAAGCACUAACAGAAUCAUAUCAGGCCUACCAAACACUGAAGCAUAUUCUGCACCUUGUACACAAUCAAUUCACACUGUACUCAAAGCAUACUGACUGACAUCAGUUCAUGGAUACAUAGCUUACAGGAAACACAACUUACAUCCAAACAAAUCCAGGGCUCUGUGCAACUCCAACCUCUUUGUCUUUUAAAUGUCAAUAACAGUGCAAAAAGAGAUAAGUGCACAAACAGACGUCCUUUGUAUGGCUCUACGUGUUAAAAUUAUAGGAAUGACUUACCCAUGUAACUCUCAAGCCUGUUAAUACAUCAAUCCUAAAGAAAUACAUAAUGACAGACUGAAUUAAUCUCUAUUGAGGAAGUCGGCUUUUGGCUGCAUGAGAAACAACACUGCUUUCACUUGCCCUGAAUGCACUCACUGUAUACAUCAACAGUGGUGAACUGCCAAGCUUUCUUCAUUAAAAAGGUUAAAAAGUAAGAAGAAGCGCUGAUCUUAUUUUGUCUUGGCAAACACAUGAUUUCAGGCAUUACUAAGAUUGGUUAGUAUGAAAUAAGGAUAAUCCAUAAUCAUGAGGAUAAUCCAUAAUCAAAACACAAAAACAGAGAACACAGGAAACAAAAGCAUGGACUUAAGAAGACAAAAGCAUGGCUUUGCAAGGAGGAAUAACAGAAACAACAAGGCAGAAAUGAUCAAAUUAAUCAAGGUGAGACACCGAACAGGUGAACAUAUUAGGGUAAUCAACCAGUGCCAUGACAUGAGUGGAGACAGGGCCAAAAUCCAAACAAAUGCAUAUAUCAUAGCAAACAGCACACAUCAGUCCCAAGCUGAGAGCGGGAACAUACACUCACUGUCCACUUCAUUAGGAACACCUGUAUACCUGCUCAUUUAUGCAGUUAUCCAAUCAGCCAGUCAUGUGGCAGCAGCCCAGUACAUAAAAUCAUGCAGAUACAGGUCAAGAACUUAAUGAAGUUGAAGUUAAUGUUCACAUCAAACAUCAGAAUGUGGAAGAAGUGUGAUCUCUGUGACUUUAACUCUGACAUGGCUGUUGGUGCCAGGUGGGCUGGUUUGAGUAUUUCAGAAACUGCUAAUCUCCUGAGAACAUUGAGUGUUGAUAAGAGAGGUCAGAGGAAAAUGGCCAGAUUGUUUCGAGUGGUGUGUGGAGGGUCUGCAGGCUGAAACACCCUGUUGAUGAUAUCAGAGGAGAAUGACCAGACUGAUCUGAGCUGACAGGAAAUCUAUAGAAACGCAAAUAAUCACUCUUUACAACCGUUGUGAGCAAUAAAGCAUCUCAGAACAGACAGCACAUCAAACCUUGAGGUGAAUGGGCUACAACAGCAGAACUGUGGUGAGCAGAAAAGCAUCUCAGAACAUAAGGUGGAUAGGCUACAACAGCAGAAGACCACAACAGGUUCCAUUCCUGUCAGCCAAGAACAGGAAUCUGAGGCUAUCAUGGGCGCAGACUCACCCAAACUGGACAGCUGAAGACUGGGAAAAGACCAGGUGUUUUUUUUUUUUUAAAUCUUCAACUGUUUCCACCCACAGAACUGUUGAUCAUUCAAUGUUUUUUGUUUUUCUCACCAUUCUGUGUAAACUCUAGAGACUGUUGUGUGUGAAAAUCUCAGGAGCUCAGCAGUUUCUGAAAUAUUCAAACCAGCCCAUCUAGCACCAACAACCAUGCCAUGGGAUUAUCCUAUGAUUGCCUUGACUGCGGAUUUUUGACUCCCACUGCCUGUAGUGAUGCCAAUUCCUGGAUUAUCCCAAAUAAAGAUACUCUGCACAUGCA